AUGGCUGGCACAGGACCCCCGGGGCACGGCAGGUGCCCGUUGCCCGCUCCGCCAGCGGCUGCAUUCCCCAAAAGCACACCAUCCCAUCGUGUCUGCUGCCUCCUGACCCCCGGCCCUUAUCUCAUCCCACAUCACCUUCCUGCGUUUCCUGGCCUCUCCCUGCCCCGGGCCAUCCCUGGGUCUCCGGAGCGAGCCGUGGCCACGCCCGAGCUGGCGCGGGUUACCAGCAGCCGCGGGGCUGGGACCGCUCGCCGCCGGGCCCGGGCUUCGCGCUCGUCCUGGCCGCUGGGGCCUCGGAGAGCGGCGGCAGGAGCGAGGCAUCACCCGAGCGCUGACAGGCGCCUCUCCGCCUUCCCCGCCCGGCGCAUUCGCCUUGCCACGUGCAGAACCCGGCAGGCGCGGACCGCCAGCGCCCUCGCGGUUGCCGUGGCUACGCACGAGCGGCCGCAGCUGACCCAGGCGGGGCCUCCCUCCGCCGCCUCCGCCUCGGGCUCCGUCCCCGCUCGGUUAGGGAACCCCAAGCCCCCGGCCCCUACAAGCUGUGCACACCUGCAGCAGACCCGUUUCUGCAAAGCUGUCUUGUCUCCAGGGGAUCAUCGCCUUAUGACUGUGGAGAAUGUGUUGAGACUAUUUGCAGAAAGGAUUGUCCAAUGCCAGACAAAAUGGAUUUGAAAAAUGCCUGGUGCAAUGGGGAAAAAG
Molecule: long non-coding RNA, 699 nt
Filed under: Oryctolagus cuniculus (rabbit)
Lineage: Eukaryota; Metazoa; Chordata; Mammalia; Lagomorpha; Leporidae
Description: lncRNA (ENSOCUG00000036635.1)
Source: RNAcentral